Molecule: long non-coding RNA, 1615 nt
Organism: Cyprinus carpio carpio
Lineage: Eukaryota; Metazoa; Chordata; Actinopteri; Cypriniformes; Cyprinidae
Source: Ensembl
UAAGCACUCAUCGUCACAGUUGUAAACAACAACGGCUUUCUUCUUUCGUGAGGGGGGUUUGGCAUCACAGUAUCUUUGUUUCCGGACAGAACGUUUAAGAAUGGGACACAGAAAUCCUGUAUAAUUCAACCUAUCUGAUGAUGACUUCGACACUCCUGAAGUGUUUCCACUUUUGUUUGCCGUAUGCAUCAGACGUUCAGCUAACGGUCCGUGACGUCUGAGGCUGAAACUAUGGUGAAACGAACAAUAAAUCAUUUUUUUAGUGUGCAGCAAAGUUCAGUUAAACCUGAGAAGCAUCUACAGGGGCGUUUCUACAUUAUUUGCCAUUUGUCCCACUCGAGACUAUCGGUUAGCGACUCCUUUGGAUAACACUGGUGGUUAUCUCCUCUCUGUUAAACACAUCAGCGCAUGUGUUCUGCCUCGUCUUUGCGAUUUACAGAUCCUGAAGAGCGGUGACUUUAGCCGAGUCAAUAUUUAUCAAGUGGAGUAUUCAAAGGCAGAUCCUGCUCAAAUCCUUUUAUAUCGCCCUUGAGGGAGGUGCCAGGAAGUCUUAAAACUCCCUUCGACAGGAUGUUUCCUUUUAAACAGCAACAUGUGCUCUGAUCUCUUCACGUCUCAAUAACAGAAUCUUCGAGAAUAAAGGUGCUAUGAUGGGCUGUUCAAACCCCCAUCCUCACUGUCAGGCUGGAAUAGGUCUUUAACUGUCACCUCAGAGGAGAGACUUCUGACGAGACGGGGCCAAUGCAAGCAGGAGCUUAAAAAGCCUGUAGACUCCAAUUAGGGAACUAGAGAGAUGUUACAGGGAAAGCCGUCUUCCCACUGGAAAAUUACUCUCGUCUCUCCCUCUUAGAGGAGAGCGGGUUAGUCUUGAGGGGAUUCUGGGAUUUUUUAAAAGAGGAGGUCGCUGGGAUGACAAUGGGGUGGAAAACGUUGCCGCUUUUAUCAGUUUGAUAGCAUUCGGUGUAAAUGAUGUGUUCUGUUGACAUCUUCAUGCUUCCGCUCUGACUCCAAGCAGCAAGGAACUUCUGUUUCCUCUCGUUUCCCUUUUUGAGGCUGUCUGUCUUACCCUUAUUUCUUCUAAGCGCAGGAAGCCUGUCACUGUCGUGUUGUGGCAGCACAGCAAGCCAAACUCUCUGGGUUGGCUGCACACUGAGCUCCCUCUCACUGAAUUCAUUAAGUGAUUAUGGCUGUGUUUUCCACUAGGGGGCAGUAGAGGAUUUUCAGAUGGAUUGACAUACAGUAAGCUCUGUUUAAAGAAGCUGUCAACCACUCAUAUUUUUCAUAGAAUACUUUAUAAAACCACACCUGAAGAAUGAAGGGUUAACGGUCAUACCAUAGAUUUAAGGUUUACCAUUUAUUUUUCAGCCGCAUCACAUCGGAUCUCUGGUGCCGGUGAACUAACUUGUUAAGUUCUGAUUGAGAUGGUUUAGUUGGCUGGAGAAAGUCAACUUUUUCUGCAGUUGCAGGAAAUUUCAUUUCUGUAAUGCAGCAACAAAAAUAAAUGCAGUGCUAUUAUCAUUAACAGAAACUGAAAAGAAAACUGAAUGCAAAUGUUUUUGUUAGCUGAAAGAAAAAUUAAAUGUAACAAAAUGUCUGAAAGUAAACUAAAAUAAAA